CUCAUCUACACAAACUUCUCUAAGGCACUUGAUGUGGUCCUCCACUGCAUCCUCACCACUAAAUUGAAGAGAUACAGGGAUGUUUCCACGUGCUCCUUGGUCAAGAAUUUCACCAAGGAUCUGGGUCUCCAGCUACAGAAGUUCUAAAGUGAUACACUGGGUGUACAGAAAGGAUUUUCUUUUCACACUGGGCAGUUUCUCAGCACAAAUGCUGAUGAGGUCACUCAAGCACAUUACAGGACAAACAAAAUAUCAAUUUUUGGGAAAAUUUA
Molecule: non-coding RNA, 272 nt
Organism: Cyanistes caeruleus (blue tit)
Lineage: Eukaryota; Metazoa; Chordata; Aves; Passeriformes; Paridae
Source: RefSeq, a predicted model, not a curated record